Molecule: ribosomal RNA, 519 nt
Filed under: Exophiala mansonii
Lineage: Eukaryota; Fungi; Ascomycota; Eurotiomycetes; Chaetothyriales; Herpotrichiellaceae
Description: SSU rRNA
Rfam family: Eukaryotic small subunit ribosomal RNA
Source: RNAcentral
GAUUAAGCCAUGCAUGUCUAAGUAUAAGCACUUUAUACCGCGAAACUGCGAAUGGCUCAUUAAAUCAGUUAUCGUUUAUUUGAUAGUACCUUUACCUGGAUAACCGUGGUAAUUCUAGAGCUAAUACAUGCUAAAAACCCCGACUUCGGAAGGGGUGUAUUUAUUAGAUAAAAAACCAAUGCCCUUCGGGGCUCCUUGGUGAUUCAUAAUAACUUAACGAAUCGCAUGGCCUUGCGCCGGCGAUGGUUCAUUCAAAUUUCUGCCCUAUCAACUUUCGAUUGUAAGAUAGAGGCUUACAAUGGUCUUAACGGGUAACGGGGAAUUAGGGUUCUAUUCCGGAGAGGGAGCCUGAGAAACGGCUACCACAUCCAAGGAAGGCAGCAGGCGCGCAAAUUACCCAAUCCCGACACGGGGAGGUAGUGACAAUAAAUACUGAUACGGGGCUCUUUCGGGUCUCGUAAUUGGAAUGAGUACAAUCUAAAUCCCUUAACGAGGAACAAUUGGAGGGCAAGUCUGGUG